Molecule: ribosomal RNA, 370 nt
Filed under: uncultured bacterium
Lineage: Bacteria
Description: bacterial SSU rRNA
Rfam family: Bacterial small subunit ribosomal RNA
Source: RNAcentral
GGACUAACGUCGGCGGCGUGCAUAACACAUGCAAGUUGAGCGUGGCCUUAGUUUACUAAGGUCUAGCAGCGGACGGCUGAGUAAUGCACAGGAACGUACCCGGAAGUGGGGGAUAGCCCUUCGAAGAAGGGGUAAUACCGCAUGUGAUCGCAAGAUCAAAGCCGCAAGGCGCUACCGGAGCGGCCUGUGUCCUAUCAGGUUGUUGGUGGGGUAAAAGCCUACCAAGCCUAUGACGGGUAACUAGGUCUGAGAGGAUGACCAGUCAGAUCGGGACUGAGACACGGCCCGAACUCCUACCGGGAGGCAGCAGUUGGGAAUCUUGCACAAUGGACGAAAGUACUGAUGCAGCGACGCCGCGUGGGGGAGUGAA